CUGGUUUGCUCGGCCUUUUGGCUAAGAUCAAGUGUAGUAUCUGUUCUUAUCAGUUUAUUAGUAUGGGUGUGUCAGUACCCCCCCAACCACUA
This 92-nucleotide small nuclear RNA is filed under the name Pelodiscus sinensis (Chinese soft-shelled turtle). Its description in RNAcentral is "U2 spliceosomal RNA (ENSPSIG00000020074.1)". It matches the Rfam family "U2 spliceosomal RNA". From Rfam's summary of the family: U2 is a small nuclear RNA (snRNA) component of the spliceosome (involved in pre-mRNA splicing). Complementary binding between U2 snRNA (in an area lying towards the 5' end but 3' to hairpin I) and the branchpoint sequence (BPS) of the intron results the bulging out of an unpaired adenosine, on the BPS, which initiates a nucleophilic attack at the intronic 5' splice site, thus starting the first of two transesterification reactions that mediate splicing. The record is from Rfam by way of RNAcentral. Lineage: Eukaryota; Metazoa; Chordata; Testudines; Trionychidae.